GCGGGUGUAGCUCAGGGGCUAGAGCGACAGCUUGCCAUGCUGUAGGCCGUGGGUUCGAAUCCCAUCACCCGCU
Molecule: transfer RNA, 73 nt
Filed under: Planctomycetota bacterium
Lineage: Bacteria; Pseudomonadati; Planctomycetota
Description: Planctomycetes bacterium tRNA-Gly
Rfam family: tRNA
About the family: Transfer RNA (tRNA) molecules are approximately 80 nucleotides in length. Their secondary structure includes four short double-helical elements and three loops (D, anti-codon, and T loops).
Source: RNAcentral